AGGAUAAGUGAAGGCCAGAAAAGUGUUACCACGGAAAGGCUGCCUUGGGUAACUGAAGAAGUCUGGGAGACAGCGGUGAAGUCAGAAGCGAAUCACAUCUUUUGUCAGAGGUUGAUUAUGCUUAAAGCUGGGCUGCCUAAGUAGAAGGCUGCCUGCCACCUGCCUGCCACCUGCCUGCCACCUGCCUGCUGCCUACCUGAAUUUCUUCCUUCUCUCCCCACCCUUCCCCUUUCUUCCCACCCUCCUUUCCCUUCCCUUUCCUAACCUAACAUUUCCUUUUUUACCCUAUCCUUCUCUUCCCAACUUCUUCCUUUUGGCCCUCCUUCCUUCCUUCCUUUCCCCUCCCUCCCCGCUCUCUUUCCUUCCACUCAGUCCAUUUUCCUGGAAAUUUCAUUAAUUUUUAUGGUUGAAUUCCAUUACGUGUCUAUGUCCUACAUUUUCUUUAUCCAUUCGUCUGCUGAUGGACAUCUAGGCUGAUUCUAUUUCCUUGCCACUUUGACUAGAGCAUCAAUAGUCAAAUCCAUUGUGACCUGGGUCUUGUGGAGCAUGCCCAGUCAUAGGGAAAUGCUGUAGACAGUGCUGAUCCAAACUGAUGUGCUAGGCUUGGGUGCUAAGGAAAAACUCCUGGUUUUUGACCCAGCAAAGGAGCUGGUGAGUAACGAGGGAGCAGUGAAGCUACAGUGGGCAGAUACUUGAGAGAUGCCUCCUAAGGUUGGCAGAGGAUGAAAAUCUCAUGGCCAAGACAAGCUCCACUUGAUCUCUAUCCAAGAGCAGAGAGCCCAGCCACCUGCUCACCUCUCAUGUCUGGCACCACCGUCUGUUUAGAGCCAAACUCACAGUGGGGCAUGGAGUUGGGACAGCUCUGUGUUUGUACCUGUCUGUCCAUGGUGACAAAGAAGGAAUUAGAGACACAGGCAAGAUCUUGAACUCUAGUCACCAUAAGAGGCAAACUUAUGACAAAUCUCUGGACAGAAAGCAAUCUUAAUAUGGAUGGAAGAUGACUGGCUCAAGCCACCAGUCAGGAGGAGCCUGGAGUCUUCACCUCGGGCAGAUCAGUGCUGAAGGGCAGCGUUGGAGUCCUGGAGGGCCACACAGCUUGAAUGACUUUCCCUACACAGGGAGGGCUGAACUUUUCCUCGGAAGCUGUGUGUUGGGAGUGUGCUGGGGAGCAAACAGCCCAAAAUGCAGAUGACUGGAUGAGUCAGGAAGUGAUCUGUGGUGAGGUUUGCAGUGUCUGGAGUUUGAGGCCCCAGCCCCUGAACAAUUGCUUAGAGAUUUAAUGAUUGUUAUUAAGCCUACAUGUAUUCAAUUGGGGUUUUCUUUCUGGUAUUUUUUACAUGUUUCAGUCCUUCUAUACUAAAUAUACAGAAAUAAGCAAUGAGCCAUGUGUGAUGGUCUACAGAGGCAGGAGCAUCUCUGUGUUCGCCAUCAGCCUGGGCUAAAUUGCAGGUUCUAGUCCAGCCAGGGCCAUAUAGUGAGAUCUGUUUCCAAAGUAAAUAAGCAAAUAAGUGAAUGAAUAAAUAAAUAGAUGAAAUAAAC
This 1539-nucleotide long non-coding RNA is filed under the name Mus musculus (house mouse). Its description in RNAcentral is "long non-coding RNA chr1:189064894-189066433". The record is from RNAcentral. Lineage: Eukaryota; Metazoa; Chordata; Mammalia; Rodentia; Muridae.